AUUGAACGCUGGCGGCAUGCCUUACACAUGCAAGUCGAACGGUGACGGGCCUUCGGGUGCCGACGAGUGGCGAACGGGUGAGUAAUACAUCGGAACGUGCCCGAUCGUGGGGGAUAACGAGGCGAAAGCUUUGCUAAUACCGCAUACGAUCUACGGAUGAAAGCAGGGGACCGCAAGGCCUUGCGCGGACGGAGCGGCCGAUGGCAGAUUAGGUAGUUGGUGGGAUAAAAGCUUACCAAGCCGACGAUCUGUAGCUGGCCUGAGAGGAUGAUCAGCCACACUGGGACUGAGACACGGCCCAGACUCCUACGGGAGGCAGCAGUGGGGAAUUUUGGACAAUGGGCGCAAGCCUGAUCCAGCCAUGCCGCGUGCAGGAUGAAGGCCUUCGGGUUGUAAACUGCUUUUGUACGGAACGAAAAGCCUUCUUUUAAUACAGGAGGGUCAUGACGGUACCGUAAGAAUAAGCACCGGCUAACUACGUG
RNAcentral lists this ribosomal RNA (482 nucleotides) under uncultured bacterium. RNAcentral's name for it is "partial 16S ribosomal RNA". It matches the Rfam family "Bacterial small subunit ribosomal RNA", at positions 30 to 507 of the family's 1533-position model. The record is from RNAcentral.